GCUUCGCACGUGCAGGAGAUCCUUGCUUCAGUUUCGCAGUCGGACUGGCGCGCUCCAAAUGAUUAAAUACCAUCCAGUUUUUUCGAUGUACAGAUUGAGUGUUAUUUGCGAUAUAUCACCACAAAUUAAAAGUAAAUAUGGAUAUUGUUGGUGAGCUUUUGAAAGGACCACUUGCGAAAAGAACUGUGUAAGAGAAAUUACUUUUUGCGAAAAUGGAUAUUCCGCGGCUAAAAUUGGACAAGUUAGAAACGGACAAAUAGUUACACGGAACUUUAAUGCUGCAGCUUACGACGCGAAGUGUGGUUCAGAGACAAAAGUGAAGCUGUUUCGUUGACCUUAUUUGCUGUUACAGAACCCAGCGGAAAACUGUGUAGAACAGAGUAGGAUAUGCAGAUUUGAAUCAUGCAUCUUCCGCUAGAAAAGCUCAUCCAGCUUCCAAAGAGCACAUCAACAAUAGCAUAGCAUGCUGCACGUUUGGGAACUCGCAUUGAAGAUGUCUUAGAUCAUACUAAUGAAGUCGCAAAAAGCAAGUAUAAUUCAAUUGUGAAGAAAAACAGGGACAUGAAAUAGUUUGUUUGUUUUCUGGACUUACAUGGGAUGAGCCUCCAAGGUCACGAUGAAAGUUUAAGGUCUGUAAAUAGAAGAAAGACAUGUGUAACAUUUUGGAUACGAAAGAUAUGUCGUUUUCUGACUUCAUAAAUGCCACGGCAGUUUUUCUGGAACAUUGGCAACAAUUCAGAAUGAGUUGGUGGAAAUUGUUUGAUCCGCCAUGCUACAGCAGAUCCUGCGGGAAAUACCAGGCUGAUUUCGUUACAGUUAUGAACAACGAAACCACUGAUAUUUCCAGUAUAUCCCAGUUGGCUACAACACUACGAUAUUGCUUGAACGACGGUAUUCCCGUCGAAAUAUUUGUGUCAUUGAGGGAUGUUAGUAGUUACAAGUCCGGUACAGCUUUAGCUAACCAUGUUAUUAGCAUGCAGCAAUUGGGCGUAUUACCUGCUAAGCUGGUUGCGCUAACAUACGAUGAAGCUCGAGUGAUGUCAGGAGAUAAAGGAUGAACCCAGGCGAUUGUAAAGAAGUCAUUUCCAAACGCUGAUUAUAUUCAUUCCCAAAGCGCGAUUGUGGCUUUCUAGUUUUGAAAUAUUUUUAUACUCAAAGACGAAGGAUCCAUGAGAAACCUGAGAAGGUCACCGACAAAAACCUCUAAAUAUGAAGCUAACAUACAGUAUAUUUCGAGAACAGAACACUCAUAUCUCUACCUUCUGGUUUUUGGAAUAUGUUUAUACCCAACGACGAAGAAUCCAUGAGAAAACUUAGGUCUCCAAGAAACACAUUUACAACAAAAGCAAAAAUUGCAUACUUUCUAUUUUUUUGACGUAGGACUACGUCUUUCAUUUCUAUACCGGGGUGUAAAAUCAAAGUUUCGAAAACGAAAGCGUUACGCCGGAGACCGAGAUUUUGAGCGUUAAUAGCUCCUAAACAACUGAGCGAAAUGGUAUGAUAAACACUUCAUUCGAAAUGAAAUAAUGUCUACGCGUUCUAUACUUGUUACUUUUUGAUCCAAAAUCUUGUUUCAAUAGUCUUAAAAUUGCUUUCAAAACAGGCUAUUGAAAUCACCAAUCGGUAUAUAAGCGAGCGUCGCUCGGAAAUCCACUCAGUUAUAAUUGAACAGCGAUUGGAGCAUGUUGUCACUGUUGUGGUGAAGCUCUUCGUUUAUCAUGAAAGCGCGGAUGAACGGUGCCACCAAGAGCCUGUUUGUGCACCUUAGACCAGAAGGAAAUCCAUCAGGAGGAGAGUGAUGCCACAAACGGUUCCCCGGGAAGAGUUCGGAGCAGCCGCCACACACAUACACGCGCGGAACUCUUCGUUUGGAUGCCAUUCAGCAUCGAGAAAACUCCGGAAAGAUUCAAUCGUUGCUGAAAAAUAAUCCGCCAGUUCCUCUGGAAACUGAAAAAUACAUUCAUGCAAAAGAGUUCAUUUUAAUGUUUUCUAUCCAUGUAACACUGCGACCAAAUAUUUUUCAAUUAGGUGCUAUUAACAGGUGGUUAUCGAGUUAGCAUUAACCACUGAUCGGCUUCGAGUAUCGAGGAAAAUCUGGAACAAACUAAUCUUUACUGAAAAAUACCCUGCGAAUUCCCCUGGGAAUUGAGAAAUACAUUGAUGCGAAAGAGUUUAUUCUAAUGUUUUCUAUGCAUAUAACACUGCAACCAAAUACAUUUUGUUUUGUGAUUUUUCAAUCGAUCGCAAUUAACAUGGAAGCUUCUGAAAAUUAUUCUUCCCAUCAGUAGAAAAUUUUCGUAUCCAAUAUUGUAUGCGCGCGCAACGGAAAAUGUUUCGCAUCGCGAAAAUUAUAUAAUUUUCAAUCGAUUAUUGCUCAGUCGCCGAAUGUUUCAAACUCAGAGAGUUCAUUCCCCUCUUGUUUGUCUUCCAAAUUGCUAUCGUAAACCACAUCUUCUCUCGAUUCAAUCACGCACAAAAAGCAUACUUAAGCGAUAUUCUGGUGGUGAAACGCAUUCAUUUUUCGUGAGGACAUCGACAAGGUAACAUCAUAAUUGAACGAGCUGGACGGCGAGGAAUCGAGGGAUCGAGAUAUUCAUUACCUAGCCUGACCUAACCUGAAAGACAUGCAGUUUGUUUGGAACUGUGAGGGAGGGCAGAAAAGCCGAGCCAUCAGGAGGAGAAGAGAUAGUGACCAAGAGAGUAUCAUCAUCGAAAAACGGUUCUCCGGGAAGACAUCGAAGCAGCCGCCACACACACACAUACACGCGCGGAAUUUCUCGUUUGGAUGCCAUUCAGCAUCGAAAAAAUUCCGGAAAGAUCUAAUCGCUGCUGAAAAAUAAUCUGUCAGUUCCCUGGGAAUUGAAAAAUACAUGAAUGUGAAAGAGUUUAUUUUAAUGUUUUCUAUCCAUGUAAAACUGCGACCAAAUAUUUUUCAAUUAAGUGCUAUUAACAGGUGGUUAUCGAGUUAGCAUUAACAACUGGUGGGCUUCGAGUAUCGAGGAGAAUCUGGGAAGAUGUUAUUGUUGCUGGAAAAUAAUCUGCCAGUUCCCCUGGGAAUUGAAAAAUACAUUCAUGCUAAAGAGUUUAUUUUAAUGUUUUCUAACAUAUAACGCUGCGACCAAAUACAUUUGGUUUUGUGAUUUUUCAAUCAAGUGCAAUUAGCAGGAAAGCUUCUGAAGAUUUUUCUUCCCCAUCAGUAGGAUAUGUUCGUUUCCAAUAUUGGAUGCGCGCGCAACGGAAAAUGUUUCGCAUCGCGAAAAACAUAAUUCUCAAUCGAUUAUUGCUCAGUCGCUGAAAGUUUCAAACUCAGAGAGUUCAUUCGCCUCUAUUUUGCCUUCCAAAUUGCCAUCGUAAACCACACCUUCUUUCUAUUCAAUCACGGACAAAAAGCAUACUUAAGCGAUAUUCUGGUGGUGAAACGCAAUCUGUUAGAGGCGAAUGAACUGAAAAGUUUAAAGCCUCUUUAAUUCAACAUCAUCAUCAUGAAAUGCAAUCAUUUUUCGUGAGGACAUCGUUAUUGAGCGAGCUGAACGUGCUGGACGAGCUGGAGGGCGAGGGAUCAAGAGAUUCAUUACCUGACAUGAAACGCAUUCAGUUAGUUUGGAACAGUGAGGGAGCGCAGAAAAACCGAUCCAUCAGAAGAAGAGAAGACGACCGAGAGAGUAUCAGCACCGAAAAACGGUUCCGUUUGAGACAUCAGAGCAGCCGACACACACACACACACACACAUAUAUACGUGCGGAACUUCUUUCGUUUAAAUGCCAUCCAGCAUCGAGAAGAUUCCGGAAGAAUAUUAUCGUUGCUGGAAAAUAUUCUGCCAGUUCCCCUGGGAAUUGAUAAAUUCAUGCGAAAGAGUUUAUUUUAAUGUUUCCUAACCAUAUAACACUGCGACGAAAUACAUUUGUUUUUGUGAUUUUUCAAUCAAGUGCAAUUAUCAGAAUUUAUUUUAACCUUUUCUAUCCAUAUAAUACUGCGACCAAAUACAAUUGGUUUAAAAUACAAUACAAUUGGUUUUGUGAUGUUUCAAUCAAGUGCAAUUAACAGGUGGUUAUCGAGUUAGCAUUAACCACUGGUGAUGGGCUUCGAGAAGAAUCCGGAAAGAUAUCGCUGCUGCAAAAUAAUCUGCCAGUUCCCCUUGGCAUUGAAAAUAACAUGCAAGCGAAAGAGUUUAUUUUAAUGUUUUCUAACCAUAUAACACUGCGACCUAAUACAUUUCGUUCUGUGAUUUUUCAAUCAAGGGCAAUUAGCAGGAAAGCUUCUGAAGAUUAUUCUUCCUCAUCAGUAGGAUAUUUUCGUAUCCAAUAUUGGAUGCAUAAAACCUUGUACCUCUAACGCAACGCUCUCGUUUUCGAAGUCCCCCGAAUAUUCAUUUAUUCUUCAUUCAGAAUGGAUUCAGAUUCAACUUCAAACAAAUGAUCACUGAAUCAACGAUAGUCCUACGUCACCAUUGCGGUUAUACCAUAGAUAUAACCCACUUCCUGUUUUGACGUAGGACUACGUCUUUCAUUUCUAUACCGGGGUGUAAAAUCAAAGUUUCGAAAACGAAAGUGUUACGCCGGAGAC
This is a long non-coding RNA of Toxorhynchites rutilus septentrionalis, 4563 nucleotides long. RefSeq lists it as uncharacterized. The transcript has 3 exons. NCBI's taxonomy places the organism in Eukaryota, Metazoa, Arthropoda, Insecta, Diptera, Culicidae. The record is from RefSeq and is a predicted model, not a curated record.